GUCUUAACCAUGUCAUAGGUCUUUAAUGCCCUGAGCCUCAAACGUGAGUGUAAUGGUAGCCAAAUGUCCUGGCAUUGGAGCAUUUCUCUAAUACAGAAGCUGCAGCCCUGAACUGAGCAACCAAAUUGCUCCUAUGGUGAUGUGGAAACCUCAGGGAACUGAAUCUGGUGAAUCCUGAAGACCUGUGCCUGAGAAAAGCUCUACCUUUCCUUGUGUGAGCAGCUGUCUGGUGCUAUGUGGAUGUUUAACCAGUGAACUGCUUGGCAAUAAAGAAUCCCAGCAGCAGCUUGGACUUGCCUUGUUGUAUUGCUCAGUGACACUGCUGACCUCAGUCCAGAAGCGAAAGCGAAAAUCCAUUAUGAAAUCUAGUUGCAUUAUAAAGAAGGAGGAGCCCGUAGUGUGCCUGUUUCUCUGGGAUCCAAGUGGCUUCUGCAUCUCCUGUGCAGGGCUCUGGAAGAGGAGCUGAAUGAUUGGGAGUUGGAAAGAACUGCUCAGGCACUCGGAGAAGGGAAUGGAAGAGGCAGGAAAGCUUCCUCAGGCAAAGCAGCUUUUGAGGGAGAAGACUGAAGGAGGAGCCUGAUGAGCCUGACCUGGGACCACAGAGGAUCUCAGAGAAGAUCCAGCACCACUGGAACUGAGCACCCAGGGCAGCCAGAUGGACUCUCCCCACCUCAUGGGGUUGUGUUUCCUGCUCCUGGCUGUUGCAGCUCCCU
Molecule: long non-coding RNA, 713 nt
Organism: Lepidothrix coronata (blue-crowned manakin)
Lineage: Eukaryota; Metazoa; Chordata; Aves; Passeriformes; Pipridae
Exons: 3
Source: RefSeq, a predicted model, not a curated record